Non-coding RNA from Nothobranchius furzeri (turquoise killifish), 682 nucleotides. Lineage: Eukaryota; Metazoa; Chordata; Actinopteri; Cyprinodontiformes; Nothobranchiidae. The record is from RefSeq and is a predicted model, not a curated record.
UUUCUGCCUGAUUGGACCUUGUUUUCACACAAAUGAACCCAGAAUGAUGUGAAAUUGUGCUUCGUGCAACAUAAUUCUGGGUGCCAUUUACAAACCAUAACUGCUAAUGACUCCAUUCCUUUUUGUGGUUGUAGAGUCUGUUGAUUGGAGUACACUAAAACAUACCUGAUCUCUCUAGGACAUUCAGAAGCCAAGUUAUAAGCCCACAAAUGUGGAACUGGACUACUUCUUUAAAGUGCAUGUCAAGUGUGCCUCAGAGUCUUACCCCACCCACGUAUCAAUUUUGAAAACUGCAACAUUAGUAGGCGUUGCCUGGAGGACCGAGAGGGCGGAGCCGCGGCAGUGACGAAGAGACGGCUAACUAGACGAAGCUAGCUCCCUUCACUCUGAGCAGUCAUUAGAAGUGGAGGACGUUUCUCCCCCUCCUUACCCAGACACUCGAGAAGAAAGGGACCAAGUCUAUUUGGAGGAGACAAGCGGACAUGAGCCUUAUUGUUUUGAGCUUGUGAGUUGCCUGAAAUUACUGGAACCGACCCAACAGACCCAUCUCUGAACGUGAUCCUCUGGUGUCUGCAGCUGGUCUCCUGCUGAUGUCGUCGGGAUCAGGAACUUCCAGAAGAAUGUGCCUUUCAAUGACUCUUUCCCCCUUAUUUGUUAUAUUAAUUAAAUAAAUCUCAAUUUA